AGCCGUGUUGUGAGCACAAAAUGAACUAUUCUUUCGUCUUUUACUAAAGAAUAUCGUGUGCUCGCAGCUCAAAACGGCAUACGCCUAUUUUUGAACUAUUUUUGGAGAGUUAAAAGUU
This is a small nuclear RNA of Hibiscus syriacus, 118 nucleotides long. RefSeq annotates it as U5 spliceosomal RNA. The record is from RefSeq and is a predicted model, not a curated record. NCBI's taxonomy places the organism in Eukaryota, Viridiplantae, Streptophyta, Magnoliopsida, Malvales, Malvaceae. The transcript has a single exon.